This 236-nucleotide long non-coding RNA is filed under the name Lathyrus oleraceus (garden pea). Its description in RNAcentral is "Pisum sativum (pea) long non-coding RNA (PSAT_LNC015734)". Lineage: Eukaryota; Viridiplantae; Streptophyta; Magnoliopsida; Fabales; Fabaceae. The record is from RNAcentral.
GGAUUUUAAUUGGUAAUUAUUUUCUUGACAUGUAUGCAUAAAUGACACAUUGUGCCAUUCCUUUUGUGAAAUUGUCAUUUCAUAUCCAAUGAGCUUGAAAUUUUUUGUGGUGAAACUAGACACAUUGACCUUCAUUUUGGUAUAAAGUUUGUGCAUUUAUCAUUUGUGGAUUGAGAGUUAUGAUUUUCUGAAGUUGUGUGUUGAAUUUGGUGUCACAACAUGAACAUGCAUUUUCC